GCCGAAGUGGUGGAAUUGGCAGACACGCAGUCUUGAGGGGGCUGUGCCUUCGGGCGUGCGGGUUCGACUCCCGCCUUCGGCACCA
Molecule: transfer RNA, 85 nt
Filed under: Deltaproteobacteria bacterium
Lineage: Bacteria; Pseudomonadati; Myxococcota; Myxococcia
Also listed under: 4 other names
Description: tRNA-Leu
Rfam family: tRNA
About the family: Transfer RNA (tRNA) molecules are approximately 80 nucleotides in length. Their secondary structure includes four short double-helical elements and three loops (D, anti-codon, and T loops).
Source: RNAcentral